This 373-nucleotide ribosomal RNA is filed under the name uncultured organism. Its description in RNAcentral is "partial 16S ribosomal RNA". It matches the Rfam family "Bacterial small subunit ribosomal RNA", at positions 527 to 896 of the family's 1533-position model. The record is from RNAcentral.
GUAGGUGGCAAGCGUUGUCCGGAAUUAUUGGGCGUAAAGCGCGCGCAGGCGGUUCUUUAAGUCUGAUGUGAAAGCCCACGGCUCAACCGUGGAGGGUCAUUGGAAACUGGAGAACUUGAGUACAGAAGAGGAAAGCGGAAUUCCACGUGUAGCGGUGAAAUGCGUAGAGGUGUGGAGGAACACCAGUGGCGAAGGCGGCUUUCUGGUCUGUAACUGACGCUGAGGCGCGAAAGCGUGGGGAGCAAACAGGAUUAGCUACCCUGGUAGUCCACGCCGUAAACGAUGAGUGCUAAGUGUUAGGGGGGUUUCCGCCCCCCUUAGUGCUGCAGCUAACGCAUUAAGCACUCCGCCUGGGAGUACGGCCGCAAGGCUG